Molecule: RNA transcript, 2333 nt
Organism: Pteropus alecto (black flying fox)
Lineage: Eukaryota; Metazoa; Chordata; Mammalia; Chiroptera; Pteropodidae
Gene: WDR38
Gene name: WD repeat domain 38
Exons: 2
Source: RefSeq, a predicted model, not a curated record
CAGGGAUGAUCCUCCCCAUUGUGCAAACGGGGAAACAGGCUCCAAGGGGGCUGUGGGUCCUUUGCGAACAGAUCAGCACUGUGGCCGAGUUCAGAGCAGCAGGAGAGGCAGGCGAGCUGUGUGGGGCUGGCGUGCCCUCUCGCGGCAGCCGUGCGCCACCAGAGCCACCCAAGCCCCAUCUUAGAGCCGCCCACGGGCCUGACUGCUAUGGCGCCACCUCCCCGGAGCUGAGAACUCUCUCCCAGUCUGUCUCCUCCUGGCUUCCCAGAGCCCCCAGAGCGGCUGUGCGCCCCGCCCCGCCCCGAUUGCCAUGGAGACCGCUAGUACACAGUUUUCUCCUUCCCGUUGUCAACUCCUCUGCCUUCUCUCCUGACUGCCAGACACUGCUCACAGCCUCAGAGGAUGGCUGUGUGUAUGGCUGGAAGACCCAGAGUGGGCAUCUGCUGUGGAGGCUGGGUGGCCACACAGGUGGGGCUCCUCUGCCUGGAUGGGGAGACCGAGGCCCAUGUUCCAGCAUUUUACAGAGCCUACCACAAUGACCUCCGACAUUUGAGCUGAGCAUCUGUGCAAGACAGCCUGGGCAGGGCUGGGGCAGCAGACAGGACCUGGUCCCUGGGGCCUGACUCUUGCAGACCUGGCCUCAGAUCCUACUACUUUUUUACAAAAUUGUUUUAAAAUAUAUUUACCAUUUUAACAAUUUUUAAGUGUACAGUUGAGUGUUGUUACCUAUGUUCACAUUGUGCAGCUAAUCUCCAGAACUUUUCACCUUGCAAAACUGAAACUCUAUGCCCAUUAAACAUCCUAUUCCUCCCCUCACCCAACCCUGGCAACCCUCAUUCCACUGUCUCUGUGAAUUGGACUAAAUACCUUGUAUAAGUGGAAUCAUACAAUAUUUCUGUGACUGGCUGACUUUUCUUAGCAUGUCCUUAAAGUUCAUCUAUGUUUCACCCACCAUUUUGACUGUUUGUGUUGUCACCUCUCUGAGCCUCUAAUUCCUUCUUAGAAUGGGGAUAAUAGUUGCUACCCUGUAGGAUAAGAUAAUGCAAGCAAAGUGCCUAGCAACCAGUAAGUACUCAGCAGAUAUAACUAUUAUAAUGAGACAAGGAAACAUGGUAAUUACAGGGCAGGUUGAUUGAUGCUAUAAUAGGGAAAAUCCAGGGACUGGGGAGCUCAAAGGAGGCAAUGAACCUAGGCUGGGCUGUCGUUUUUUCUGGGAGGUGCCUGCAUUUGAUUGGGUAUUGAUUUUCCGAAUGGGCAAAUUGGGGUUGGGUGUUCCAGACCAAGACACAGAAGUGCAGGAAUUUCCAGGUGGUGAGGGUUAGAAGUGCACAGGGGAGGUAGGCUGCAAGGCUGGAGUUAUUAGCAGGUGUCCGAACGCAAGGGCUGGAGGUGGAGGGCAGUGCCCUAUUCCCUAACCACAGCCACCCACCCCAGGCCCCGUGAAGUUCUGCCGCUUCUCCCCUGACGGCCGCCUCUUUGCCAGCACCUCUUGUGACCGCACCAUCCGCCUGUGGGAUGUAGCAGAAACAAAGUGCCUACAGGUCCUAAAGGGUGAGUGGGCUGGAUGGGACUGGGAGCCAACCAGCCAGGCCUGGGUUCCCUUUCAGACCUUGCUGUGCCACCUCACAGGUCACCAGAGGAGUGUGGAGACAGUCAGCUUCAGCCCUGACUCGAAGCAGCUGGCAUCUGGUGGCUGGGACAAGCGGGUGAUCCUCUGGGAGGUGCAGGUAUGAGGCCUGGGAUCCUGAGACACGAACCCUCCAUACUGGCCCCAGAAAGGUCUUUCCCAGUCUUCCCCAAUGCCUGUGUCCAUAACUCGCACCCAAGAUUCCCUUGCAUCUGGCUGCAGCUACCUCCCAGCCUCCCCGCACAUACCAGCUCUCAUGCCCAUGAGGUUCCCCCUGCCUGGACUGCCCUCUCCUGUCAAAGACCUGGAAACCUCCCAGACCCUGCAUUACCUCAUAUGCCCGGGCAGCCUCACAAGGAGGUCCUGGGUCUGAACCAUCUGAAGCCUAGCACCUGGCACUGCGAAGCUUCAGGGCUGUCCUCCAAAGCUCAGGGCUCUCUCCUUCAGUCUGGCCAGGUGCUGCGCCACUUAGUUGGGCAUCAAGACUCCAUCCAGAGCAGUGACUUUGCACCCAACUCAGACUGUCUGGUGAGACACAUCCCCUCUGCCUGGGCCCCACCUCAGUAGCCCUACCUGAUGAGGGAACCUAGUGUCAACAUCCACUUUUCACCUGGGAUGAAGCAGUGGUUAUAAUUCCAGACCUUGACUGGGUGACUUUGCUCAUCUGAGCCUGUCCCCUUCUCUGUAAGAUGGGGUUCCACAGGGU